GACGAACGCUGUCGGCGCGCCUAACACAUGCAAGUCGAACGGAGUUGCUGAAGCUGAAUUUUUCGGAAGGACGCAUUAGUAACUUAGUGGCGGACGGGUGAGUAACGCGUGAGUAACCUGCCUUUCAGAGGGGGAUAACGUUUGGAAACGAACGCUAAUACCGCAUAACAUAACGAGGUCGCAUGGCUUUGUUAUCAAAGGAGCAAUCCGCUGGAAGAUGGACUCGCGUCCAAUUAGCUAGUUGGUGAGGUAAAGGCCCACCAAGGCGACGAUUGGUAGCCGGACUGAGAGGUUGAACGGCCACAUUGGGACUGAGACACGGCCCAGACUCCUACGGGAGGCAGCAGUGGGGAAUAUUGCGCAAUGGGGGAAACCCUGACGCAGCAACGCCGCGUGAUUGAAGAAGGCCUUCGGGUUGUAAAGAUCUUUAAUCAGGGACGAAGGAAGUGACGGUACCUGAAGAAUAAGCUCCGGCUAACUACGUGCCAGCCGCCGCGGUAAAAC
RNAcentral lists this ribosomal RNA (504 nucleotides) under uncultured bacterium. Its description in RNAcentral is "bacterial SSU rRNA". It matches the Rfam family "Bacterial small subunit ribosomal RNA", at positions 28 to 526 of the family's 1533-position model. The record is from RNAcentral.